UCAUACAGUAUACCAAAUUAAGCAGACAUAUUGCUUUUUGAAUCUGAUACAUGGACUUGACUAUGGGUACAUAACUUUUUUCACUGAUCCAUGAAAUGUGGUCAAUGUCAAGGGAAAACAGUUUUACAGACAUGAGGAACUUUCAAUUCAUGCUCAUUGCAAGUAUAGAUAUCAUAUUAUUCAUAAGACAGAGAAUUAACAUUAAAA
This 207-nucleotide long non-coding RNA is filed under the name Mytilus galloprovincialis (Mediterranean mussel). Lineage: Eukaryota; Metazoa; Mollusca; Bivalvia; Mytilida; Mytilidae. The record is from RNAcentral.